CCACUGUCCUUGGGAAGUUUAUUCACUGCCUUCACCAUUUACUGAUGAACAUGAUGACAUACUGAAGAGUCUAAUUCAGAAAGAGAUGGAGAGGGUAGAGAGACCAGAAAGUGACAGAAAAAAGUUGACCUUCAGCCUCAGUGUAAAACAUGAAGGAAGAAAUGUUCGAGAGAAUGGUGCAAUGAGUUCUGUGCAGGAAAAUGGAAGCUUCCUGGAGGAAGUAGGCUUGAGCUGAAUCUUCCAGUAAUGGGGAACAGAAAGGUGGAGUCUCUGGGAACCAUCAGAAUUUCCCUGCUAGUCAUGGCUCUUGAAAUUCAAGGAUUCUAAGAUAUUACUUGUUUUGCCUCAGAGGACAGGAACUGGAGCACCAGGGAGCCACCAUCCCACCAAACCUUCCUCACCAAGAUGCAGGUGAAGCAGAAGGUGGAGAGACUGUCCUGUCAGCAACAGUAAAAGACCAUUGAAAGAAA
Peromyscus leucopus (white-footed mouse) is the source of this 470-nucleotide long non-coding RNA. RefSeq lists it as uncharacterized. The record is from RefSeq and is a predicted model, not a curated record. Lineage: Eukaryota; Metazoa; Chordata; Mammalia; Rodentia; Cricetidae. The transcript is spliced from 2 exons.